This 85-nucleotide transfer RNA is filed under the name Felis catus (domestic cat). It matches the Rfam family "tRNA". From Rfam's summary of the family: Transfer RNA (tRNA) molecules are approximately 80 nucleotides in length. The record is from Rfam by way of RNAcentral. Lineage: Eukaryota; Metazoa; Chordata; Mammalia; Carnivora; Felidae.
GCCUGGGUGGCUCAGUCGGUUAAGCGUCCGACUUCGGCUCAGGUCAUGAUCUUGCAGUUCGUGGGUUCGAGCCCCGCAUCAGGCU